Scomber scombrus (Atlantic mackerel) is the source of this 83-nucleotide small nucleolar RNA. RefSeq annotates it as small nucleolar RNA SNORD100. The record is from RefSeq and is a predicted model, not a curated record. Lineage: Eukaryota; Metazoa; Chordata; Actinopteri; Scombriformes; Scombridae. The transcript has a single exon.
UGUAUCGCUGAUGAUAUCUUGGCUCCCUCUGCUGAAUACUGUGACGAGAUUGCCACUGUUACCCAAUUUCUGUCUGAGAUGUG